ACGGGAGGCAGCAGUGGGGAAUAUUGCACAAUGGGCGAAAGCCUGAUGCAGCAACGCCGCGUGAGCGAUGAAGGUCUUCGGAUCGUAAAGCUCUGUCUUCAGGGACGAUAAUGACGGUACCUGAGGAGGAAGCCACGGCUAACUACGUGCCAGCAGCCGCGGUAAUACGUAGGUGGCAAGCGUUGUCCGGAUUUACUGGGCGUAAAGGGAGCGUAGGCGGACUUUUAAGUGAGAUGUGAAAUACCCAGGCUCAACCUGGGGGCUGCAUUUCAAACUGGAAGUCUAGAGUGCAGGAGAGGAGAGUGGAAUUCCUAGUGUAGCGGUGAAAUGCGUAGAGAUUAGGAAGAACACCAGUGGCGAAGGCGACUCUCUGGACUGUAACUGACGCUGAGGCUCGAAAGCGUGGGGAGCAAACAGGAUUAGAUACCCUGGUA
This 434-nucleotide ribosomal RNA is filed under the name uncultured Clostridium sp. Its description in RNAcentral is "partial 16S ribosomal RNA". It matches the Rfam family "Bacterial small subunit ribosomal RNA", at positions 341 to 792 of the family's 1533-position model. Lineage: Bacteria; Bacillati; Bacillota; Clostridia; Eubacteriales; Clostridiaceae. The record is from RNAcentral.